RNAcentral lists this transfer RNA (69 nucleotides) under Eriocheir sinensis (Chinese mitten crab). RNAcentral describes it as "tRNA-Thr". RNAcentral also lists the same sequence under 2 other names. The record is from RNAcentral. Lineage: Eukaryota; Metazoa; Arthropoda; Malacostraca; Decapoda; Varunidae.
GUUUUUAUAGUUUAAACCAACCCAAAACAUUGGUCUUGUAAACCAAUAAUGAAUUAUUUUCUAAAAACU